AGUGAACGCUGGCGGUAGGCCUAACACAUGCAAGUCGAACGGCAGCACAGUAAGAGCUGGCUCUUACGGGUGGCGAGUGGCGGACGGGUGAGGAAGACAUCGGACUCUACUUUUUCGUGGGGGAUAAUGCGGGGAAACUUACGCUAAUACCGCAUACGACCUUCGGGUGAAAGCAGGGGAUCUUUGGACCUUGCGCGAUUGAAUGAGCCGAUGUCGGAUUAGCUUGUUGGCGGGGUAAAGGCCCUACAAGGCGACGAUCCGUAGCUAGUCUGAGAGGAUGAUCAGCCACACUGGAACUGAGACACAGUCCAGACUCCUAAGGGAGGCAGCAGUGGGGAAUAUUGGACAAUGGGGGAAAGCCUGAUCCAGCCAUACCGCGUGGGUGAAGAAGGCCUUCGGGUUGUAAAGCCCUUUUGUUGGGAAAGAAAAGCAGCAGGUUAAUACCCCGCUGUUCUGACGGUACCCAAAGAAUAAGCACCGGCUAACUUCGUG
RNAcentral lists this ribosomal RNA (492 nucleotides) under uncultured bacterium. RNAcentral's name for it is "partial 16S ribosomal RNA". It matches the Rfam family "Bacterial small subunit ribosomal RNA", at positions 29 to 507 of the family's 1533-position model. The record is from RNAcentral.